Molecule: non-coding RNA, 512 nt
Organism: Anolis carolinensis (green anole)
Lineage: Eukaryota; Metazoa; Chordata; Lepidosauria; Squamata; Anolidae
Source: the annotation of a RefSeq genome assembly
UCUACAAAAUGGAUUCCUUGGUCAUAAUUCUCUUACUCUUUUCCAUACUUAAGCCAGGUUCACCCUCUGAAAUACGGUUGACUCAAUCUGAUGGAGAAACACUGAAACCUGGAGAAUCCCUCAAGCUGACUUGUGCUGUCUCUGGUGAAUCCAUUAGUAGUGGCGAUUUUUGGAACUGGAUCCGCCAACCCUCAGGAAAGGGGCUGGAAUGGUUAGGGUGGGGAUACUUCAGCCUCAUCGAUUACACUUGGGAAACUGAUUAUGGCUCAGCUUUCAGCAGCAGGAUCAACAUAACAGUUGAUGACUCCAGAAAUGAAUAUUAUCUGCAGCUGAAUUCCGUGACAACUGCAGACUCUGGCACCUAUUACUGUGCAAGAGACACAGUGACACAGUGUAAAUCCAUCUUCUUUACAAAAAGGGAGAAGUGUGAUUCUCAUAGACACUGCAGAGCCUAUCUCUAUGUGUCUGCUCCAGAACAAGUUUGCAUUCAGACCUAGUUUAAAUCUGCAAUU